CUCGUAGGCGGCUUGUCGCGUCGGCUGUGAAAACCCUGGGGCUCAACCCCGGGCCUGCAGCCGAUACGGGCAAGCUAGAAUUCGGUAGGGGAGACUGGAAUUCCUGGUGUAGCGGUGAAAUGCGCAGAUAUCAGGAGGAACACCGGUGGCGAAGGCGGGUCUCUGGGCCGAAAUUGACGCUGAGGAGCGAAAGCGUGGGGAAGCAAACAG
RNAcentral lists this ribosomal RNA (210 nucleotides) under uncultured bacterium. RNAcentral's name for it is "partial 16S ribosomal RNA". It matches the Rfam family "Bacterial small subunit ribosomal RNA", at positions 568 to 775 of the family's 1533-position model. The record is from RNAcentral.